AACGAACGCUGGCGGCAGGCCUAACACAUGCAAGUCGAACGCUGUAGCAAUACAGAGUGGCAGACGGGUGAGUAACGCGUGGGAACCUACCUUUGGUUCGGAAUAGCUCAGGGAAACUUGAGGUAAUACCGGAUAAGCCCUUCGGGGGAAAGAUUUAUCGCCAAAGGAUGGGCCCGCGUCGGAUUAGCUAGUUGGUGGGGUAACGGCCUACCAAGGCGACGAUCCGUAGCUGGUCUGAGAGGAUGAUCAGCCACACUGGGACUGAGACACGGCCCAGACUCCUACGGGAGGCAGCAGUGGGGAAUAUUGGACAAUGGGGGCAACCCUGAUCCAGCCAUGCCGCGUGAGUGACGAAGGUCUUCGGAUUGUAAAGCUCUUUUGGCGGGGAAGAUAAUGACGGUACCCGCAGAAUAAGCCCCGGCUAACUUCGUGCCAGCCGCCGCAGUAA
This 448-nucleotide ribosomal RNA is filed under the name uncultured bacterium. RNAcentral describes it as "partial 16S ribosomal RNA". It matches the Rfam family "Bacterial small subunit ribosomal RNA", at positions 29 to 523 of the family's 1533-position model. The record is from RNAcentral.